AUGGUAAAACGAGGGCUUAGCUGUCUCCUUUUUCAUGUCAAUGAAAUUGAUCUUCCCGUGCAAAAGCGGGAAUUACCCCAUAAGACGAGAAGACCCUGUGAAGCUUUAGAUAUUAAGACAGAUCUGGUAAAAGAACCCUAAAAAGGAUUAAGCUUCUAAUUCCUGUCUUAGCGUCUUCGGUUGGGGUGACCACGGGGAGUUGCAUAACCCCCGCGUGGACUGGGUGCAAGAAUGUUUUUGCUCCUAAAGCCAAGAGCCUCCGUUCUAAUAAACAGAAUUUCUGACCUUAUAAGAUCCGGCAAUGCUGAUCAACGAACCAAGUUACUCCAGGGAUAACAGCGCCAUCCUCUUUCAGAGCCCUUAUCGACAAGGGGGUUUACGACCUCGAUGUUGGAUCAGGACAUCCUAAUGGUGCAGCCGCUAUUAAGGGUUCGUUUGUUCAACGAUUAAUAGUCCUACGUGAUCU
Molecule: ribosomal RNA, 466 nt
Filed under: Johnius heterolepis
Lineage: Eukaryota; Metazoa; Chordata; Actinopteri; Sciaenidae
Description: partial large subunit ribosomal RNA
Rfam family: Bacterial large subunit ribosomal RNA
Source: RNAcentral